AGACUCCAAGGCUGGCUCCUCUACAGAUGAGGAGGCGUCUGAAGCAGGGGAGAAGGGAGAGCAGUACGAGGAGCUGGCCACCCCACCCCUUCCAGAACGACUCAUGGAGGAAAAGAAAAAGGCAGCUCCCUCCAAAGAUGAGACGUCAUGUGGAGCCCAGGCUAUGGUGGAGGUGAUGGGGCCUGCUGGUCAGGGUGCUGGUACUCUGAGUGUGGAGGCUAAAGCCAAACACCCUGCUGAGGGCAGUCAAGUCAACGACCCCCAUCCAUCUCUACCAGUAACAAGAACAGUGUUGUGGGUCGGAUGAGGAUUUAACAGGUCACCGCCCUCUCAAUGGGUGGUGUUCCUAUCUACCAGCAGCUGAGCAUCAAUGUGAAUGUGAGCCAGGUCGUAGAGCUGGGCCUGAUGAACUGACUGCUACCAGACCAACUGCUGGUGGGCAACCUCUCAGAGAGACCACAGCUGAGUGACUGUCACCGGGGUGUUGUGAUGGACGGGAUGGAGACGCUGUACUGCCGCUCCCCCAGCAGCAUCCUAUAGAUCAUCAAGGCUUCAUCUACAUGGUCAACCUCUCAAUCAACUACUACGUCUUCAAAGCCAAGGAGAGGGCACAGAGAGAGGCAGAGGGUGAGGACAAACUAGUCCAAAGGAGACUGCGCCCCAUAUAAACCUCUCUGUUAUUGGGAGGGGACUAUCCUAGUGGAACAGAGACCCUGAAAAGCAACAUACUUGAAGAGUCUCUUGAAGAGGGUUUGGACUCAAAAGCCCUCCUAUCCCCUCCUCCACUAUGUCCUCUGUCAUACUCUACACUAAGAACAGGCCUGUGUCCAGUGCACAGCAGAUCACUAGUUCCUUCCCCUUCAUGGUGUCCUCAGCCCCAAAGGAAGCUUAAGGCUCGGUCAAGGAAGAGGCGUUGACCUCUACUGAAGGACGGGGGGAAGAAGGCAGACACGGGCAGAGAGAGUCAGAAAGACAAGAGACCCACCAUAGCCAAAAAGGGGUCCAGGAGCCAAUGACUCCCGCUCCCCUCCUCUAAAGGCUGUGACUCGCUUAUUUGACACUGAGCAGUGCCAACAGGAGUCCCAACAGGAGUCCCAACAGGAGUCCCAACAGGAGUCCCAACAGGAGUCCCAACAGGAGUCCCAACAGGAGUGCAAACUACAUAAGAAUACACAAGAAUAAACACUGAUGUGCAUGAAUGUGACUUAAAGGUUUGUGUUGUUUUCUAUAGGCUCACCACAUUCCACUGGAAUGUCCCGCCCUAUGGAGAGGCGACCCUGAAGAUCUGGUUCCACUCCCAAGUCCCUGUCAAGUUUGACAAAACACUGAAUUUUGAGUUGUUGGGUACCAAGAUAUGUUUCAAAAUGUACUGUGGGGGAAUCUAUACAUAUCUAUCCAUCAGCAGAAACACAAAGAUGGUAUUUGCCCACAGGAAGAGAGUCCUUUGCUGAAGCGUUGCAGAAGAGCUACAUCAUCCGCUCUGUCCUCUAUGAGUUUGGCCCACUGCUCUGUGGCAAGACCACAGAUAGGUAUAUAGAGGAAGUAUCCAGAGAACAUGGAAAGGUUGGUGAUACACAACAACACCCCACUGGAUGCUGAGAUUCACUUCUUCUUCCAGCAUGACACCAAGGCUGCCACCUACCAACUGGACCCUCCCAACAUGACCCUUAAACCCAACGAGAGACAAGAAGCCAAUCAGAACUACUCAUGACAUCAUAGAAUGUAGUCUGAGAUGUCGGAUUAGUCAGAACCCUGACUGUGUGACACAAACUUACCUAGAAGUUAUGACUGUUCACUGAUAUUAUCAGUGAACAUUCUCACGCCCAUUUACUUUUGUUCUCGUUUUGAAACUCCAAUGAUCCAUGGUUGUGCCCUGGCAGAUAGAAGACAGUGUGGUGUAUCAAAGAGAACCCAGAGCCAGCAUUUCUGUUGUGGGGUCCAUCCCGAGCUUGAAUGCAAGCAGCUGCAUUUUGAAAAUAAUUCAUUAACAUUACCCAGAACUGCUGUAUCGUUUUUAAACCUGCUUCAGUAACAAAGUAGGAGAUUUGUUUUUGUCAUGGUAGUUUUCUGUUGAUUUUCCUUUCGCCACUCUACUACAUUCUCCCUGUGCUGGUUGUGAACCUCAGGAAGAACACAAGGAGUCUGUACCUGCGUAACAACACGCUGCUGCCUGUAGCCUGGAGGCUAGAGGUGCUGGGGGAUGAGUUCAGUGUUUCCCAGGACCAGGGCAUCAUACUUAGGGAUCCUUGGGGUGUCCCUACCCAAACCCCUAACCCUAAACUUAACCCCUACCCUUAUUCAAACCAUAACCUUAACCAUAACCCUGACCUACCCCUAACCUUAAUUCUUACCUUAACCAUUUUAAAUUUCAACUUCAAAGGGGUAGAGAAGCCCCAAGGAUCCCGGAUAGCAUGGACCCUUGUCUCAAGCCAGAUUGCGCGAUUGCCGUCUGCACUGAUCGGUUGAGGAACGAGCGUUGCGUAGGAGUGACGCCAUCUGACAUGAGACAAUGGCCCAUCAACCUAAAGAGAGCCAUAUGCCUCGAGGUACAUUACUGGAUGAUGAUUGAUUUGUUGUUUGGUAUCGACUGUUGCAUUAUUCCUGUUUACCUCAUAUUGUUGUUGUGUGACAUUCUGUCUGUGUUGCCGUGUGUGUUAUGUGCCUGAUGUGAGGAACAGACAGCCCCCAGGUCUGCUUCUCUACAUAGGUGGUCCACCUCCAUGUAGACUGUACCAAGGAGGUGACCGUGGCCUUCUGCUCAGAGCCGCCCAUAGUACUGACUGCCCAGCCUAUCAAGUGUAAGCUGUGCAGGGUGGUGUUCCAGCAGGAGGUGGACCAGGUGCCAGACUGGGACGACCGCCUCAGGACCAUCAUGUGGGUUGAGUCUGGGAAACAGGCGGGUAGUCAACAGUCUGCAAAGAAGAAGUUCAAGUCACACAGGCUUACUAAAAAGGCUACCUUUUUGUGACUGUAUUUAUUGUUUAUCAUCAUGACCCAUGCAGGGAGGAUAUUUGCUGACUACUCAGACUCCUUGCUCUGGUCAAAUGCUACACCACGCCCACAGACAUCAGUUUCUCCACAAUCAGUCUGGAUCUGAGUACCUCCCCAAUGAUUUCUGGAAUGUAAACACAUUCUAUCUGUUCUGAUUGGUCCCAGAAACCCAUGGGUUGGGUCAGAGCCAGGGUAAAGCAGCGUUUUGAAAAUAUGUCAUUAGCUUUAAUACUCUGAUUGGUUCGAGAUGAUCCAAUUGCUGAUGACUGUUUUCUACAACACCCCUUAUUUUGACGUUACCACAAAUUACUUCAAGGGUGUGGCUGUCUCAGAAUUAAAUAUGUUGCGAACAAACGGCGGAAGAAUUCCUUUUGAGUCGUCAGGCAAGGGAUGAGAGGCCAUUGUAUUUUAAUUACAGUAACUAGUGAAGUAAAUUGAGUGUGCUCUGUCUGUCCCCAUCGGCUCUGUCUGUCCCCAGGCAACUCUCCUCAUCAGGUGGACUUCAAACGGGGGAGAAAUGUGGGCUUCAAAGCUUAAGACUCAGACAGAAAGGCUAAUUAUACACUUAACUCCUCAUAAUGCAAAUUCACAGCUACCUUUUCACUCCUUUGCUUUGUCUGAAGUUUUAUAAUGACAUCCCUUCCCCCUGCAGAAGUGUGUGCUCAAAGACAUGGGCCUCAACAUCAAGAUUAAGAAUGGGCGUUCAGUUGUUCCAUCCUGGACUCAGCUGGCCUGGAUUUCUCCUUCCCCAAAGACACCUUUGUAAUUGGCUUCAUCUACGAUGCAGGGAUGGUGCCAGCUACACAGACACUGAUCAUAAGCAACAACAGAGAGAGGGGCAUCAGAAAUAAAUUAAACCACCUGCGGGCCGCCAGUUGGGGAACCCUGGUGUAGAUUGUCAGUUCUCUAACACCCCGUUUUUGGAGGCGGGGUUCCAGACGGAAGUGCUGCCCCCUGGUGGGUCCAUGGCGGUGCCCAUCACCUUCUACCCAUAGGAGGCAGUGCAAUACCAUGAGCGAGUGGUCUUUGAGAUCAAUGACUGUGUCGAGCAGGUGGUCGAGACCCUAGGUCAAGGAAUUGAGAUGAAGGUUGACUUUGAGGACCCCAGACACAAGGUGGUGAAUCUGGGGGCUCUGCAGAUUGGUCAGAAGAUCAGGAGGGUGAUUCCCCUGGUGAACAACAGCCACUCCUCUCUGACCUCUCCCUUCUGCUCAGCUCCACUGUACACACUCUGCUUGACUCCAGGGUACUGUACGCCUCUCAGAACCACCUCAACAUCACUGUCACUGUGUCCUCUCUCUGAAAGGCAAGCCAUAUGGCUACCUCGACCUGGCAAGUAGUACAGUAGCUACAUUAAUGGAUGUUUUGCUCAGAAUGUAGCUAUAAAGAUAACACAGUUGAGAGUUGUCAUACUAGUUUAGUUCUACCUGUGUGAGUGAGUGUGAUGAGACAUGUAUUGCUCUCCUGUACCGUCGGUGCUGUCAGUGAACCCGCCAGGUGAGGUGACCCUGAAGCCUUUUGGGGGCCUCUAUUUGGUGGAGGUGCUAUUCUCUCCCAUGUAGCGCAUGGCUCCCUUCACCUCAGAGCUGCAACUUGAGUAUCUGGGCACGGUACCCCCGCUGCUGGUGCUGAAUGGCUGCUGUCAUGACAUGGAGGUCAAGCUGGACCAGGACUACCUGCCCUUUGGAGCUGUUGCUCAGCGCUGCAAGGCCAUAAAACGCAUCAUGUGGAACACUGGAGAAAUUGGAGCCAGACUUCACCCCUGCAGAGGGCUACAUCUGCCCUGGGAUGGAGGUUCCCUUUGAGGUGGCCUUUGCCCCUGUGGAGCUGAGAUAUGAUGACCUGCCCUACACCGUAGAGAGAGCCAUCAAAUUCACCCUGGCAGGCUCCUGAAUCAUGCCCCCCAUCAUUGACCUUGUCCUACCUCACAAAUCAGCGCUGGACUCUGAAGCCUGUGAACGAGGGGGAACACUGGAGGGGCCCUCCUCCUUCAUCAUUGAUCCCUACCAGCAGCACAAGGCUUAUGAGAUCACAUACAAAACCAUGGUCUUGACCCCAGAUGGCAAGAAGCACCUGGACUCUGUGUUCUUCUUCCCAGAUGUGACAGGCAUACUCUACACUCUGCAUGGCACUUCUGAGGCCCUCAAAGUACAUUGAGACAGGGCCUGUCCACAACUGGCACUCCAACCCUCAGCAGUACCACACUACUACUUUAGCAGGAUGCCUAUCAGCUGUUUAACACCUUGUAAUGACACUGCUUCUACCUCUGUCACACUACACUACAUCACCACAACUUUGUCAGCUGCCAGUACUAAAAUGUUCUGUGUGCUGGUUCCUUGCUGUGGUGGAGAUCAUCAAGCACUGUGUUCCUGAAGGGCCUGGACUAUCUGGAUGUACCAGCUCUGGCCAAGAGGGACUACAUGGUCUUCUUCUUCACCUACAAUGAGGGCCAAUGCAAUGCAAACGUCAGUGGAGAGAAUCUGCUCAUGUCGAUGUACAUUAUAAAUGCAUCCUGACCAUCUUCAGGGGAGUACCUGUUCUCCCACCUGAACUACAAGGCCACAGAGAUGGGUAUCAUCAGCACAAUAGAUAUGGUGACUCCGGUGCGCCAGACAGCCUCUGCCUCUGUGAGAAUGGAGAACCUCAUUAGCCUGUACUUCAGUGCUGAGUGCCGCAGUCCAGAUGUCAGUGUCUCCACAAGUAUUGUGCCUGCAUUCUCCAAGUCUAGAUCCAUGUGUUCUUCUCAGAGCCACUAGGGAGAGCACUUGCUCCUCUCUAAAUAGCACUCAUUUGGCAUCAGCACCAGAUACUGUACCUCCUGGGUUCAUUUGUGGGAACAGGAUGGGUGUUCAGAAUGCAUGAAAUAUGUUUCCAAUUAGCAUAAACAGCAGUUCAAUAGUGUGUUAGGUGAAUAGUUGGA
This is a long non-coding RNA of Oncorhynchus tshawytscha (Chinook salmon), 5911 nucleotides long. The record is from Ensembl. NCBI's taxonomy places the organism in Eukaryota, Metazoa, Chordata, Actinopteri, Salmoniformes, Salmonidae.